GACGAACGCUGGCGGCGUGCUUAACACAUGCAAGUCGAACGAUGAAAGAGAGCUUGCUCUCCGGAUUAGUGGCGAACGGGUGAGUAACACGUGACUAACCUGCCCCUUUCUCUGGGAUAACGCUCCGAAAGGAGUGCUAAUACCGGAUACGAACUCUGAACACAUGUUCGGAGUUGGGAAGUUUUUCGGAAAGGGAUGGAGUCGCGGCCUAUCAGCUUGUUGGGGAGGUAACGGCUCACCAAGGCGACGACGGGUAGCCGGCCUGAGAGGGCGACCGGCCACACUGGGACUGAGACACGGCCCAGACUCCUACGGGAGGCAGCAGUGGGGAAUAUUGCACAAUGGGCGAAAGCCUGAUGCAGCGACGCCGCGUGAGGGAUGAAGGUCUUCGGAUUGUAAACCUCUUUCAGUAGGGACGAAGCGAAAGUGACGGUACCUAAAGAAGAAGCACCGGCUAACUACGUGCCAGCCGCCGCAGUAA
RNAcentral lists this ribosomal RNA (481 nucleotides) under uncultured bacterium. RNAcentral describes it as "partial 16S ribosomal RNA". It matches the Rfam family "Bacterial small subunit ribosomal RNA", at positions 28 to 523 of the family's 1533-position model. The record is from RNAcentral.